RNAcentral lists this unclassified non-coding RNA (2478 nucleotides) under Hevea brasiliensis (rubber tree). Lineage: Eukaryota; Viridiplantae; Streptophyta; Magnoliopsida; Malpighiales; Euphorbiaceae. The record is from RNAcentral.
AAAGUUCAAUUUCGUGCAGCGAGAAAAGAUAAACACGAAUGAUUAACGAAUGCAUCUGUCUUCAAAUUGGAGAAAUUAAUUUAUAUAAACUCCAACGAAUCUGUUCAAUUGAUUCUGCAUAAAUGAACGAACAAAUUACACGCCAUGUCUAGUACUUCCGGCACUUUUUGUUAGUGCUUUAGUGAUGACAUGAGUAACAAUUCCAAUGGGGCAGAAGAGAAGGCAAAGAGAAACAGAAUGUCGAGUCUCAAUUUCAUUUUCCAAUCCAUCAUGAAACACUUGCCUGAGUAAAUCACAAAGAUAUAAGUGUUAAAGGUGGAAUAUAGAGGGAAUGGGAAGGAAAUAGGGGGGAGAAUGAUACCUCGCAGCAAAUAGAUCAACAGCUAACAAGUGAAUCCAAGCUGAAGCUAAUGUCAUCUCACUGGAGAACAUCUUAGCAAUACCAGAUAACUGAGUACAAUUAAAUCAAAACUUUUAAUUACCUUUUUCACAAUGACUACACAUUGCUCAGAAAUUCAAGAAAAUAACAGAUAUUUAUGUUUCUGUUCACACCUCUGGUAACCAAUAUUUACUUGCAAACAUUAGUUGUAUUGUGUCAGGUGUCCAGGAGAGGUAUAGUAGAUACGCAUACAGAAGUCCAAGCACAACAUACGGUAUGCUACUUUCCAUAGACUUUCUAGUCUGCAUUAUGCACAAUCAAGUCAAUCAUGUGCAUAACUUGAAACAGGCAUGGCCGGAUUGCUUUCCUAGCCUUCAGUUGAUGUUUACAGUCUAGCAUAAUUUGUCCAUCAGAAAUCUUGACUUGAAAAUACACCGACUAAAAUGCAAUAAUUGAACCCUUUACAUAGAACUAAAAUGAAAUAACAUAACAUAGCAAAACCAAGAUUCAAAAAGAAAGAAUAUGAUCGUAAAUAGAACAAUGUCUGAUAAUCAUAUUCUUCACAAAUUUUUGAAAUAAUACAUGAAGAGGUUGACUAUUCAUAUCUCAUAAGUAUUAAUUUAAACCACUACCAAAAUAUAGAGUGAUUAAGUUUGAUUUCUUAAAAAAGUAGAGGAUACCAGUUCUGCUUUAGGAGCUACGACCAUGAGAGUGUAAAAUGGAAGAACAGCUGCAGUUCCUAAAGUAAAAACAUUGCUUGCAAUUUGAGAAUUUGUCAACCAUGAUGCAUAUACUCCGGAGCAUUUCUGACACAAAGUGAAUCUUGCAAGUUUUGGUCGAAUAGUAAUUCUUGAACCUCCCAGAAAACUCCAGUUACUAAGUAAGUCAGCUUCCACUCUUGUGAGUUGUUGGCCAAAAAGUUCAGUGCUGUUGCUUUUAAGAGAGAACGAGAAUUUUGGACCAACCUUCUCAAUUUGCCGCGAUCCUAUAUUCCGCCCUGGGUAGUAAAUCUAUAAGAAAUGAAAUUUAAACCUUAAGAAAAGCCUUCAAGCUCAUAAAUACAAACUUUAUUCCCUUUUUUUUGGUCCAUUCUUGUGGUAAUCCAAACCAAAAGGUAAAUUCAGUGCAAUAAAGCUACUUUUAGAGGUGAAGACAGCAAAAUUCUAUAAAUCUUUUUCCCAUCUAGCAUGUAGAUGAGAUACAUAUGAUCCAUAAUGAAUCAUAAUAUGUACUCUAUCACCAAUAUGGCAUCAUGAACAUUAGUAUGCCCAGCUCACGUGCACCAGGGAAAGAAAGCAAGACUAUACACAAUGCGCUGCCAUAAAAAACAGAGGGAUAACAGUUCAUGUCUUAUGAUAUAUAAAAGACCAAAAAGAAACAGAAGGGAAAAAAAAUUAUACUUUUGGGGAAGGGAAAAAUAGGAAAGAAAACGAUAGAUCGUGUAGGAAAAUGCAUGCACUAAAUCAGCGAAAUCACCAGACACUGAUGUAAAUCUGCUGCAGAGGACCCCAAAACUUGAUUUCCUUAUCAAAUGCAUAUUCCAGGCAGCUGAUGAUAUAUAAAUACAUGGAUGUUACUGAAUUACAAAUCUAAAACAUGGGCAAUAUAUCGAAUAAUGGUAACCCCAAAAUAUCAAUCCAGGAGGUAACAAAUGGGGGAAAAAAGCAAUAUUUGAUUUGCAGAAGACCAACUGACUACUUACUUCAAAGAAAUUCAAUUACCAUCUCCAAUCCAAAAGAAAAGAAAUUCAUCCAAAAGCAGCUUAUCUAACCCAUACCUUGAACGGGAUUUGAGGGAGGCACAAGCAAGAAGAGAAAGCCAUAUCUGGUGCAAAAUAGAGAUACCCAACAAUAAUGGACUCUUCAUUCGUUUUGCACUAGUAAUUAAAGUAAAACGAAAGUACCAAAAUCGAUGAGGUGGGUAUAUCCCACUAUGAAGGAAAUGGGCACGGCAACGCAAAGCUUAGCAAAGAAAGUAAAGAACAAAAGAAAGAAAGCCCCACAUUGCGCACUCAAACCGACUACACAAACAGUGAGACUAGCCUAAUGAAUAGACUAAUGACAGAGUAGUAAACAACAUUGAUGUUAGCCAAAAAAAAU